This 799-nucleotide ribosomal RNA is filed under the name uncultured marine bacterium. Its description in RNAcentral is "bacterial SSU rRNA". It matches the Rfam family "Bacterial small subunit ribosomal RNA", at positions 123 to 957 of the family's 1533-position model. The record is from RNAcentral.
AAUAUGCCCGGUACUAAGGAAUAGCCUUUGGAAACGAAGAGUAAUACCUUAUACGCCCUUCGGGGGAAAGAUUUAUCGGUAUCGGAUUAGCCCGCGUAAGAUUAGAUAGUUGGUGGGGUAAUGGCCUACCAAGUCUACGAUCUUUAGCUGGUUUUAGAGGAUGAUCAGCAACACUGGGACUGAGACACGGCCCAGACUCCUACGGGAGGCAGCAGUGGGGAAUCUUGGACAAUGGGCGCAAGCCUGAUCCAGCCAUGCCGCGUGAGUGAUGAAGGCCUUAGGGUCGUAAAGCUCUUUCGCCAGAGAUGAUAAUGACAGUAUCUGGUAAAGAAACCCCGGCUAACUCCGUGCCAGCAGCCGCGGUAAUACGGAGGGGGUUAGCGUUGUUCGGAAUUACUGGGCGUAAAGCGUACGUAGGCGGAUUAGUCAGUCAGAGGUGAAAUCCCAGGGCUCAACCCUGGAACUGCCUUUGAUACUGCUAGUCUUGAGUUCGAGAGAGGUGAGUGGAAUUCCAAGUGUAGAGGUGAAAUUCGUAGAUAUUCGGAGGAACACCAGUGGCGAAGGCGGCUUACUGGCUCGAUACUGACGCUGAGGUGCGAAAGUGUGGGGAGCAAACAGGAUUAGAUACCCUGGUAGUCCACACCGUAAACGAUGAAUGCCAGACGUCAGCAAGUAUACUUGUUGGUGUCACACCUAACGGAUUAAGCAUUCCGCCUGGGGAGUACGGUCGCAAGAUUAAAACUCGAAGGAAUUGACGGGGGCCCGCACAAGCGGUGGAGCAUGUGGUUUAAUUCGAGGC